Collinsella sp. CAG:166 is the source of this 362-nucleotide non-coding RNA. NCBI's taxonomy places the organism in Bacteria, Bacillati, Actinomycetota, Coriobacteriia, Coriobacteriales, Coriobacteriaceae. The record is from Rfam.
UGAGUGGGCCAGACGGUCGCGCGAUGUGCUGCUUGCAGCACGCGUGAGGAAAGUCCGGGCUCCAGAGGGCGGGAUGCCGGCUAACGGCCGGGCGGAGUGAUCCGACGGAAAGCGCCGCAGAAAAGAAGACUCCCACCUGCGCCGCAAGGCGUAAAGGGAAAAGCUGAAACGGUGGUGUAAGAGACCACCAGCGUCGUGGCAACACGGCGGCUUGGUAAGCCCCAUCCGGAGCAAGCGCGAAUAGGAACGCUAUGGGCCGGCCCGGUCCGCGUUCGGGUAGCGUGCGUGGAGCUGCACGGCAACGUGCAGACAAGAUAAAUGACCGUUCACGACAGAACCCGGCUUAUAGGCCCACUUGGCAA